AUGUUGUCUACAGGGGCUGUCAGCCACCAUUGUGUUCACCAGAGCGGGGAGGGGUUUUUCCCAGGCUCACACAGCGAGGCAGUGGCAGAGGGGUUGACCAUACCCUUCAAUAUGCCCUUGAUCCAGCAAAAGGGUCGCUUGAGGAAAUAGAAAACUGACAAAAUAGGGCAACUGGGUGUGUGGCUGGGCAGAGGGGUACCUAUUGUGGGGGCUCAGGAAUACUAGCUCUGGCCUACUGUUCCCUCAGCCAUCCCUGCAAGGCUGUGGCACAGGCCAGGCCCAGCUAAGGGCCUGCCUCUGGCACUGGGCCUGCUGUGUGCCUGGAAAGCUCUGAAAGGAGCGAGCUGGGGACUCAGCAUUCCCAUCUACCACCUCCAAUCAGCCACAGAGAGACGAUGCUGCUCCCCCUGGCCCUGGCUCAGGGCUUUAAUGCUCGAUCUCAUUUAGUUUAUCCCCCAAACCAAAGCCCGUGAGGGAUCCUUGAUCCCUGUCUCUGGGCUGGAAUGUGCCCAGCAGCACAAAGCUGGCAGAUGCCUGAGCCAAGGUCCAAACCACUCCUGUGGGUUUCCAGGCCCUGGUUCAGCCCACCCCAUGCCACGGCCUAGGGGCCUGCGGGACACAGGAAGCUCGGGGCUCAGGCCCACCUGACUGGGGCCUCUGAGGCUCUUGUUGCUGCAUAGAAGCCAUCCCCCAGAGGGGCCAUCCUCGGGCUCGCCAGCUCAUUCCUUCUGGGAGAGGUGCCCUGAGAGAGGGGUGCUGAAUUCCUGCCCUAAGUGCCUGGCGCCUCAUCACAUGCCAGCUCAGCUUCCAGCUAUGCAUCUCCUCUAGACCAUCUCCUGUUUUGGUGUCCUCCGGGCAGCCACUCAGGUCUCCGUGAAUCACAGAGCCACUUCUUAACCCCUGGUCCUGCUCGCAGUGGGAAACAGAAUUCCACUUGUCACAAACACGCUCACAGGAAUUGAGGAGCCUCUUCUGUGGAUACUAUCUAGGCACAGUGAUCGAACGUGCUUUGGACCGGGGCUUGGGAGAUGCAACUUCUGGCCUUAGCUUUGCCAGAGACUUGCUGGGAGACAAGGGCAUGCAUUUGCCCUUCUCAGGGGUGUUAAGAGCUCUGUAGUCUGCAGAAUGCACGGGUGGGCUGGGUGAUAUGAGACAGCCAGAUUGGGUGUAAGUGUCAUCCAGAUUUGGAAGAAGGCAGGUUUGGGGUGGAAUCUUAUUUAUGCCACUUACAAGUUGCGUGACUUGAGAUGAUCACUCGACCUCUUUAAGGCUCGAUUUCCUCAUCUAUCAAUCAAAGAUGAUAAUCCCUAUGCCAUGGAGGAUUUCAUACGAAAAUGCAUGUAACAGUGAAUGUUCAGUUAAAGAUCACCGCUCUUUCACUCUCCUGCUGCUGGAAGGUCCACAGAAAACAUCCUGGGGUCCUGAGCUGAAGUGUGAUGGGAGGAGUCCUCUGUAUCUCAGUCUGAUCCUGGUCUCCCUCUCGGCCAUGGUCUCACACUAGUGCUGCUGGGAAACCAUCCCUCACAUCCAGUCCUGGCAUCGGGCAGUGACUCUGGUCCAACUGUUGUCCAACUCAAGGGUUUAGCUGCUUAGAUUUUCCUAAAACUUGAAUUUCAUUUUCCUCUAGCCAUGGAAUACAGAUUAAUCCUUUACAAUUAAAAUCCAAGUUCAGAUUUUAUUUGUUGUGGUUUUUAAUUAAAAUCUCACCAGCACUU
This 1715-nucleotide long non-coding RNA is filed under the name Homo sapiens (human). RNAcentral describes it as "HSALNT0300499". Lineage: Eukaryota; Metazoa; Chordata; Mammalia; Primates; Hominidae. The record is from RNAcentral.